GACGAACGCGGGCGGCGUGCCUAAUACAUGCAAGUUGAGCGCUGAAGGUUGGUACUUGUACCGACUGGAUGAGCAGCGAACGGGUGAGUAACGCGUGGGGAAUCUGCCUUUGAGCGGGGGACAACAUUUGGAAACGAAUGCUAAUACCGCAUAAAAACUUUAAACACAAGUUUUAAGUUUGAAAGAUGCAAUUGCAUCACCCAAAGAUGAUCCCGCGUUGUAUUAGCUAGUUGGUGAGGUAAAGGCUCACCAAGGCGAUGAUACAUAGCCGACCUGAGAGGGUGAUCGGCCACAUUGGGACUGAGACACGGCCCAAACUCCUACGGGAGGCAGCAGUAGGGAAUCUUCGGCAAUGGACGAAAGUCUGACCGAGCAACGCCGCGUGAGUGAAGAAGGUUUUCGGAUCGUAAAACUCUGUUGGUAGAGAAGAACGUUGGUGAGAGUGGAAAGCUCAUCAAGUGACGGUAACUACCCAGAAAGGGACGGCUAACUACGUG
Molecule: ribosomal RNA, 497 nt
Filed under: uncultured bacterium
Lineage: Bacteria
Description: partial 16S ribosomal RNA
Rfam family: Bacterial small subunit ribosomal RNA
Source: RNAcentral